Nomascus leucogenys (northern white-cheeked gibbon) is the source of this 376-nucleotide RNA transcript. It is a transcript of the gene named 40S ribosomal protein S29 pseudogene, with no coding region annotated. NCBI's taxonomy places the organism in Eukaryota, Metazoa, Chordata, Mammalia, Primates, Hylobatidae. The record is from RefSeq and is a predicted model, not a curated record. The transcript has a single exon.
UCAACAUCUUGAUUUUUAAAAAAUUUAAUAUAUAUUAGAGAUACUUUCCUAUCAUGUAGUCACUUCCUCUGCAUCUGCAUAGUAUCCUGUAUUAUGCGUAUACAGUAAUGUAUUUAAUUAUUACUGAUGGACAUGUAGAUUUUUCCAAUUUGUUGCUGUUAUAAAACAAUGAAUACCUUUUACCUCGUUGCACUCUGAGACCAAGAUGGGUCACCAGAAGCUGUACUGGAGCCACCCGCGAAAAUUCGGCCAGGGUUCUCGCUCUUGUCGCGUCUGUUCAAACCGGCACGGUCUGAUCCGGAAAUAUGGCCUCAAUAUGUGCCGCCAGUGUUUAUGUCAGUAUGCGAAGGAUAUUGGUUUCAUUAAGUUGGACUAA